This is a non-coding RNA of Trichonephila inaurata madagascariensis, 73 nucleotides long. NCBI's taxonomy places the organism in Eukaryota, Metazoa, Arthropoda, Arachnida, Araneae, Nephilidae. The record is from the annotation of a GenBank genome assembly.
GUCCCUGUAGCACAAUGGACAACGCAUUGGACUUCUGAUCCAAAUGUCGUGGGUUUGAAUCUCAUCUGGGAUG